RNAcentral lists this unclassified non-coding RNA (330 nucleotides) under soil metagenome. Its description in RNAcentral is "partial contains 5.8S ribosomal RNA, internal transcribed spacer 2, and large subunit ribosomal RNA". The stretch from base 2 to 119 matches the Rfam family "5.8S ribosomal RNA", at positions 37 to 154 of the family's 154-position model. The record is from RNAcentral.
GUGAAGAACGUAGCGAAAUGCGAUAAGUAAUGUGAAUUGCAGAAUUCAGUGAAUCAUCGAAUCUUUGAACGCACAUUGCGCCCCCUGGUAUUCCGGGGGGCAUGCCUGUUCGAGCGUCAUUUCACCACUCAAGCCUCGCUUGGUAUUGGGCAACGCGGUCCGCCGCGUGCCUCAAAUCGUCCGGCUGGGUCUUCUGUCCCCUAAGCGUUGUGGAAACUAUUCGCUAAAGGGUGUUCGGGAGGCUACGCCGUAAAACAACCCCAUUUCUAAGGUUGACCUCGGAUCAGGUAGGGAUACCCGCUGAACUUAAGCAUAUCAAUAAGCGGAGGA